Molecule: ribosomal RNA, 510 nt
Filed under: uncultured bacterium
Lineage: Bacteria
Description: partial 16S ribosomal RNA
Rfam family: Bacterial small subunit ribosomal RNA
Source: RNAcentral
GACGAACGCUGGCGGCGUGCUUAACACAUGCAAGUCGAACGAAGAGCGAUGGAAGCUUGCUUCUAUCAAUAUUAGUGGCGAACGGGUGAGUAACGCGUAAUCAACCUGCCCUUCAGAGGGGGACAACAGUUGGAAACGACUGCUAAUACCGCAUACGAUCUAAUCUCGGCAUCGAGGAUAGAUGAAAGGUGGCCUCUACAUGUAAGCUAUCACUGAAGGAGGGGAUUGCGUCUGAUUAGCUAGUUGGAGGGGUAACGGCCAACCAAGGCGAUGAUCAGUAGCCGGUCUGAGAGGAUGAACGGCCACAUUGGGACUGAGACACGGCCCAGACUCCUACGGGAGGCAGCAGUGGGGAAUCUUCCGCAAUGGACGAAAGUCUGACGGAGCAACGCCGCGUGAGUGAUGACGGCCUUCGGGUUGUAAAGCUCUGUUAAUCGGGACGAAAGGCCUUCUUGCGAAUAGUGAGAAGGAUUGACGGUACCGGAAUAGAAAGCCACGGCUAACUACGUG